GGAGUCUGGGCCGUGUCUCAGUCCCAAUGUGGCCGUUCAUCCUCUCAGACCGGCUACUGAUCGUCGCCUUGGUAGGCUUUUACCCUGCCAACAAGCUAAUCAGACGCGGGCCCAUCCUGUACCACCGGAGUUUUUCACACCAGGAGAUGCCUCCUCGUAUGCUUAUGCGGUAUUAGCAGUCAUUUCUGACUGUUAUCCCCCUGUACAGGGCAGGUUACCCACGCGUUACUCACCCGUCCGCCACUCAGUCACAAGACCCGAAGGUCAAGUGCUUCGUUCGACUUGCAUGUGUUAAGCACGCCGCCAGCGUUCAUC
This 315-nucleotide ribosomal RNA is filed under the name uncultured Coprococcus sp. RNAcentral's name for it is "partial 16S ribosomal RNA". Lineage: Bacteria; Bacillati; Bacillota; Clostridia; Lachnospirales; Lachnospiraceae. The record is from RNAcentral.